CAGCGCCACGAGUGGCAAUCGCGUUUAUUGGGCCUAAAGCGUCCGUAGCCGGUUCAGCAAAUCUUUUGUGAAAUCGUCAGGCUUAACUUGACGGAUUGCAGAAGACACUACUGAACUCGGGACUGGGAGGAGUCAGAAGUAUUUUGGGGGGACCGGUAAAAUGGUAUAAUCCCCAGAGGACUACCGAUGGCGAAGGCAUCUGACCAGAACGGAUCCGACGGUGAGGGACGAAAGCUAGGGGAGCGAACCGGAUUAGAUACCCGAGUAGUCC
This 271-nucleotide ribosomal RNA is filed under the name uncultured archaeon. RNAcentral's name for it is "partial 16S ribosomal RNA". It matches the Rfam family "Archaeal small subunit ribosomal RNA", at positions 477 to 747 of the family's 1478-position model. The record is from RNAcentral.